This 28-nucleotide non-coding RNA is filed under the name Homo sapiens (human). Lineage: Eukaryota; Metazoa; Chordata; Mammalia; Primates; Hominidae. The record is from RNAcentral.
UGAUCUGAUGUACGGAGGCAUCUACUGU